Molecule: long non-coding RNA, 759 nt
Filed under: Panax ginseng (ginseng)
Lineage: Eukaryota; Viridiplantae; Streptophyta; Magnoliopsida; Apiales; Araliaceae
Description: long non-coding RNA (PGIN_LNC004416)
Source: RNAcentral
GCUUUUAAAAGAAAAGAAAAAAUAAAAAGAAAUGAUGUGGCCUCCUUUUAAAUUUGUUUUGAUUUAUUUCAAAUGGAUUUAAAAUGAUGUAUUUUUUACACCGGUGUAAUUGCCAUGUUUAUCAUCAGAAAUCAUAUCUUUCGUCGAUUUUAAGAUCUAAUUUUCGUUUGAUUUCUUUCAUUGGUUGAAUCCUGGGUUGUUAUCUUGCUUGUUGCUUUGGAUCGGUGUUGGAUCUGAUUUGAAAGAGUUUGGAUCUGGAUCUGGUUUGAAGGAGUUUGGAUUUGGAUUUGGAUUUGGAUCUGGGUAGUCGUCGGAUUCUGGAUCGUGUGGCUGAUGGUUGCUUCUGGUACUGCUAAUCUGAUCUGGUUUGCCGGCAUGUUCGCCGGUAUUUUACUGGUUGGGGGCAGCGUUCAGAGCCUUUGACUAUCUAGUUAAGAAUAUUUAGCACAUAAAUUUCCGUCUGUAUUUUAAUGUUCAAAUAGGAGCUCUAGUUGUCCCGUUACUUUUGCUUGUUUCAUAUCUCAGAUUUUGAGUAUGCAAUGGCUUUCAAUGUCAAUCCAGUCAACUGUAGGAACGGUUUAUUAUUACCAUUUUGCACUUUGAUUCAUUCUAUGGGGUAACUCCCACGGAAGAGGAGUUUGAUUGAUAAGUUUAGUAUAUAAACAUGGCCUUACUGUUAAUUGACUGUUAGUAUCAUCAACUGGGUUUGAUGUUAUGUUUUUUUUAUUAUUUUAAUUUUCUUUUGGUUUAUUGAGCAUC